This 301-nucleotide long non-coding RNA is filed under the name Setaria viridis. RNAcentral describes it as "long non-coding RNA (SVIR_LNC007559)". The record is from RNAcentral. Lineage: Eukaryota; Viridiplantae; Streptophyta; Magnoliopsida; Poales; Poaceae.
GUUCUGACAGAGCGAGUGGUGAUGGUUGGUUAGCAUCUCAAAUCAGCACUUUGGCCUCUUCAAGCUAUCAAUUCGCAUCCCCCUUAAUAGUACGGUGUUCCUAAACUCAAUUUCAAAAAUAGAAAUUAUAAAAAGGUCUUCUUUUAAGCUUAACACCAUUCUUCAGUGAAAUUGAGGUUCUUUUCUUACACCUUUGCACUUCUUUAGAAUUUAAACCUAUCAAUCACUUGAUAAAAUCAUUAGUCCCUUAACCAAAACCCACUUAGGGGGCCAAAUGCACAUUCACCCGCCCCCGCCAUCC